GGGCCCGGGAGAAGGAGCGGUGACGGACCGCGCGCCCAGGGGUACUGGGAGGCUGCGCUGGGCCCCGGGCAGGGCCGUUCAGGACUCUCUCCGCCUGCAGCCCCCGCCUCCCCCGGUACCUCCGCCAGGAUCCAAGAGGCGUCCAGAGGGGAGCCCAGGCCCUGCGCCCGCCUUCUGGUGAGGAAGAUCCCCUCCCCCUCAAGGUCCAGCCUGGGGUCAGGGUCUGUCGGCCCCCACCCCUUGCGUGGCCUGCGAGCCCCGUGGACUUCGUGGCAUGAAGUCACGCCCCCAUCCCCCCUGCAGUGGGUGAGGGCGUGUAACAGAGCGUCUCCCCGGCCGGGUGCUUGGAGAGCAGACCCGAGGCGCCCCUGGCCUGGCAUUGAACAAUACGGGUCGCCCCCGGAGGUGGCGCACGGUCCCCAGGGAAGGGCCCCGCCCUCAGGUGGGUGGCGAGGUGGCCGCCCACAGAGUAGCAGGUGCGUUGGAGGAGGGGCGCCUUGUGCGGCUGAACUUCGCGUGCAGGAGGAGAGGGCACUGGCUCUGCGGAAACAUCAGACCCGGCCAUCCCUGCAGCCGCGCCCCUGGCCCAGCCUCAGGCUCAGCCGCUGGGACACAGCCCCCGAAAACGGAGACUUCCGUCGUCGGUAAUGGAGGGCAGAGCAGAAGGGGCUGGAGAGGUCCCGAGGCCCUCCGCUUUCACGCCCCUCCCUCCAAGGCUGCAGGUCGGGCGACGGAGCUGUCAGUCAGCAGUCCCCUGGAGCAACCCCCACUCCAGUACAGGCCUCUGGAGCCUUACAGCUCCCUUCCUAUCGACUCUCCCAUCUCCUCUGUCCCCACCCCGCACCUUCCUUCUCCUCCUCCUCCCAGCUUCUCUGAGCAGCCACUGCUCCUGCCCACCUGCCUCUCCCCUCUCUGCCCACCUCUCCUACACUCCUGAUUCCAGGUUGAGCUCAUGGCUCCUCAUACACCUGCUCUGGGACGGGCAGGAGCUCCUCCUCACUGGCCGGAGCUGUCUGUCCGCUCUGUGGGCAGUGCCUGCAAUUAGAGCUUUCAGAAUGCACAGCUGCUGCGCAGUGGCCGGUUCCGCGACAACACCUGGCCUGCUUCUGUGGCCCUCCCAGUGCUGCUGGCCCAAGCAAGCUGGAUGCAGGGACCCCCUGCACUUCCACGGCCCCCUCAAGGCCCAGGCUUCCACGGGGUCUAGCGGUCUCAAGCCUGCGGCUCUCCCUGGUGGAUUCCCGCAGCCCCUCCCUUCCACCUGCGCCCGCUGGAGAGCGCUGGUUGUGGGAACCCAGUAAUCACCAAGGCUGAAUUAGAUUCCGACUCUGCGUCCUGGCCCUUGCCUCUGCUGCUCCUGAAAUUUCUGCUGCAAGGGAAACAAAAGCUCUGGGUUCAAAGUCCAGUGAGACCAGAUUUGGGGGCACAGUUCUUCCUUGGCCUGAGUCGCCCUAGGGGGCUUGCGGGUGGGUUUGGGGACACAGCCAGGCCCUUGCAGACACCAGCCCCCCACCCCCACCCAUGUCACCACCAACUCCAGGCUGUCACUGGCUACGGUGCAAAGCAGCUGCCCCGGGAGGACGGCUCUGGGGGUGUUUUUUCUCCCUCCCUCACUGCCCUCCACCUGCCCAUGGUAACCAAGGGUUUGUAGUAAAGGUGAGAGCAUUGGGGGGCACCAGCUGAGCCUGAGCUGCACCCGAGGAGAUGGCUGCGGGAGGCAGAAGGCACCGCGCUGUGGGCUCAGCCCAUGGACGGGGGGCCCUGCCUGUGCUCCCAUCACCCCCGAGGACUCAGGACCUGGGCUCAGGACCAAAACCCUCUGUGGGGCCAAGUCACUCGCACCCCGUCUGUGAGGCCUGAGCACGACGCCACGCUUUGCUGCUCACCUGAGUCUGGCCUGCGUCCCUCCCACCCUGUUCCUCUGAGGCAGGAAAACCACGAGGCCACACUAGUGAGCAGCCACGUCGACCCCCAGGCCACCUGCCCCUUCACAGACAUGAGUAACCCAUAAAUGAGAGUGGCCUCCUGGAACCUCACCAGAGCCCAGGUGCUCCCGCAGGCUUGGCUCCCUGCCCCAGGCUGUGCUCCCAGCUCCCUGCCCUCUCCUGGUGCUCCCUGCCCUCCCUACCCUCUCCUGGUGCUCCCUGCGCUCCCUACCCUCUCCUGGUGCUCCCUGCCCUCCUUACCCUCUCCUGGUGCUCUGCCCUGCAGGGAACAGACAGUGCUUUUCCUCCGGUUUAGAGAGGAGAUCUUGGAGCCCUGUCUGUCCAUUUUACUCAGCCCAGGUUUUGAAGACCGUUAAGUGUAGGAGAAACAUGGGAACUGGGCCCAGAUUGCCAAAGGGGCAACGCGUUCUCCUCACGCCCCCUCUUUCCCCACCUGCAGCUGCUUUCAUCCUGGGCCCUGGCUAGAGCUGCGUUUGCUGAAAAGCUAUAGGGCACAGCUGCUGGGGUGAUAGUGGGAGACGGAGGGUGAUAGUGGGAGACGGAAAGGUUGGUUGAGAGGCCUGAUUCCUUCCAAGCAUCACAACCUGAAAAUCACCAAAGGUUUUCCUUGUUGAGAAGGAGUGAAUGGCAGCACCGGAAGCCAAGGCCCCUCCCCACCAAGACACCAGCAGCUGAUCCCCACCUUCCCAACCAAAGCCACGAAGCAGAGGCCGAGCCGAGCCAAGGUCAGGGCCUGGGGCCACGGUGGAUUUCCUCCCAUGGGAACGUCCUUAACAUCCGCAGCUCGGGCCUGAGGGUCUGCCACCGGACCCAGCAGCUGCCACAGGUGUCCUGGCUCAGGGCUGGGGCUGUCUGCAACUCCCCUCUCCCCUGAGCCCUCUGAGUGGGGUUCCCCAAGCUCCGAGGGGCUCCCGCCACACCUGGGCUUCCUGGGGGCUCUUUGUAGACAGUGAUUGAUCUCCCAUUGGCUCCAGUUUCGUGGCUGUGUUUCUGCCCCUCCCUCCACACUCCCUGCCUCUCUGCUGAGUAGCUAAUUCACUCUAAGCACGCUCCAGAGGAAGGCUCCAGCCUCGCAGUGGAACUGCAGCCAUGCAUGAGAAUGAUCCGGCACCCAGGUCUGCCUCCACGUCCCGCUGAUGGCCCAGAGACCGUGCGGCGGGAAGGCUGGCAGCGAGCUGAGGGUUGGAACUCUGGCUGCGCCCCUGCUGCCAGGGGACCUC
Molecule: non-coding RNA, 3163 nt
Organism: Macaca mulatta (Rhesus monkey)
Lineage: Eukaryota; Metazoa; Chordata; Mammalia; Primates; Cercopithecidae
Source: RefSeq, a predicted model, not a curated record